Molecule: transfer RNA, 833 nt
Filed under: Bradyrhizobium japonicum
Lineage: Bacteria; Pseudomonadati; Pseudomonadota; Alphaproteobacteria; Hyphomicrobiales; Nitrobacteraceae
Description: partial contains 16S-23S ribosomal RNA intergenic spacer, and 23S ribosomal RNA
Rfam family: tRNA (bases 291-363)
Source: RNAcentral
AUCGACCGUUUUAGAAACAUCAGUGGCCAACGAUCGUCAGGAUCGUUGAGCUGCAUUGGCGGGAUUUCGCCGUCUUCGUUUCUCUUUCUUCGCGGACGAACACGCGCUGGGCCUGCGAGAGCAGGGUCCCUGGUCCUUGACGGGAUAUGCGUUAGGGGCUUGUAGCUCAGUUGGUUAGAGCGCGCGCUUGAUAGAGCUUGCUUCUAUCGACCGUUUUAAGCGUGAGGUCGGAAGUUCAAGUCUUCCCAGGCCCACCACACUCAUCGGGUAAGCAUUCGUCUUCUGGUUACGGGGCCAUAGCUCAGCUGGGAGAGCGCGUGCUUUGCAAGCAUGAGGUCGUCGGUUCGAUCCCGUCUGGCUCCACCAAAUGGUUUGAUCACCGACGCUGUGUUUGCAGCUAUUCAACCGUCGUCCGCGAAACAUCACUUCGCACCUACUAGUCUGGAUAGACAGUAGGUUGCGUGAUUUCUGACAUCGUAAAGAGGAGAUCGAUCCGAGUUGGAUCGGGCAGCAAGCAAUUGCUGCGCGAACCUUCAUUAUCUCCGGAUCAUUUCGGCGCUCGCGCGCCUUUCAAUGCGGCUCACAAGGCUGCGUCUGAGGGGAAUGCGGGUUGUAAAUGAUCCUUUUAGCGAAGCUUGACCGCCUCGCUAUCGGAACGAUCUUACGAAGCAAGCUGGUCUUUCUAAUCAUUGUCCGGCUGUACGUAGCGUUCAUCGAGGGCGCGUGCCGCAAGGCAAUCGUACAGACAACAUUCUGCCGAGUGUGUGGACAUUGAUAAUGAGAGCAAUCAAGUGCCUUAAGGGUGUUCGUGGAUGCCUUGGCGCUGAGAGGCG